GGACAGGUGGCGGAGUGGUCGAUCGCGCACGCUUGGAAAGCGUGUGUAGGUGAAAGCCUACCGAGGGUUCGAAUCCCUCUCUGUCCGCCA
RNAcentral lists this transfer RNA (90 nucleotides) under Brevundimonas bullata. Its description in RNAcentral is "tRNA-Ser". It matches the Rfam family "tRNA". Rfam says of the family: Transfer RNA (tRNA) molecules are approximately 80 nucleotides in length. Their secondary structure includes four short double-helical elements and three loops (D, anti-codon, and T loops). The record is from RNAcentral. RNAcentral also lists the same sequence under 131 other names. Lineage: Bacteria; Pseudomonadati; Pseudomonadota; Alphaproteobacteria; Caulobacterales; Caulobacteraceae.